CAACCAUUUUCCACAAUGGGCGAAAGCCUGAAGAAGCAAGACCGGUGAGGGAGGAAGUCSUAUGGGUGGUAAACCUMUUGAUUAAUAGAAGAACACAAKGACGGUACCCACAGAAGAAGCACCGGCUAACUCCGUGCCAGCAGCCGCGGUAAUACGGAGGRUGCRAGCGUAUUCGGAWUUAYUGGGCGUAAAGSGUSCGUAGGUKGCMWUMCAAGUCAGYUGUUAAAAGCYAGAGCUUAACUYKAUAAUGUCAGAUAAAACUGUAAGACUAGAGUAUAGUAGAGGCAAGUGGAAUUCCCAGGUAGCGGUGAAAUGCGAGAGAUCGGAAAGAACAUCAGUGGCGAAGGCGCCUACCUGGAUUAACACUGACACUGAGGCACGAAAGCUAGGGGAGCAAACAGGAUUAGAUACCCYGGUAGUCCWCGCYGUAAACGAUGUCAACUAGSUGUUACCAUAUMGAAC
This 462-nucleotide ribosomal RNA is filed under the name uncultured bacterium. Its description in RNAcentral is "partial 16S ribosomal RNA". It matches the Rfam family "Bacterial small subunit ribosomal RNA", at positions 356 to 836 of the family's 1533-position model. The record is from RNAcentral.